This 498-nucleotide ribosomal RNA is filed under the name uncultured bacterium. Its description in RNAcentral is "bacterial SSU rRNA". It matches the Rfam family "Bacterial small subunit ribosomal RNA", at positions 24 to 518 of the family's 1533-position model. The record is from RNAcentral.
UCAGGACGAACGCUGGCGGCGUGCUUAACACAUGCAAGUCGAACGGGGAUGAUCCUGGAAGGUUUCGGCUGGAAGGGAUUAUUCGAGUGGCGGACGGGUGAGUAACGCGUGAGCAACCUGUCCCAGACAGGGGAAUAACACUUGGAAACAGGUGCUAAUACCGCAUAAGACCACAGCAUCACAUGAUGCAGGGGUAAAAGGAGCAAUCCGGUUUGGGGUGGGCUCGCGUCCGAUUAGAUAGUUGGUGAGGUAACGGCCCCACCAAGUCGACGAUCGGUAGCCGACCUGAGAGGGUGAUCGGCCACAUUGGAACUGAGAGACGGUCCAAACUCCUACGGGAGGCAGCAGUGGGGAAUAUUGGGCAAUGGGCGCAAGCCCUGACCCAGCAACGCCGCGUGAGUGAAGAAGGCUUUCGGGUUGUAAAGCUCUGUUAUAGGGGACGAAGGAAGUGACGGUACCCUAUAAGGAAGCCCCGGCUAACUACGUGCCAGCAGCUGC